AGGAGGAGGGGAGGAAGAGAUAGAUAGGAGGGAAGGAAGGAAUAGGAGGGAGGAAAGAAGAGAGAGAUGAGGACGGGGGAGACAGGGAAGGAGGAAGAGAUAGGAGAGAGAGAAAGGAAGGAAUUAAUAGAAGGAAGGAAAGAAAGAAAGGACGGACAGGAAGAAGGAAGGAAGGAACAAAGGAAAAAUGGAAAGAAUGAAAGGAAGAAGGAAGGAAGGAGAAAAGGAAAGAAGAACGUAGGAGGGAGGAGAAGGUAGGGACCAGCAGAGAAGGAGCAGGAAGCAGAUGAUUGAGGAGAAAGAUGAAGGUGAAGAGUGAAGGUCAGCGGAGGAAAAGAGAUAUUGGAAAUAUCAGAAAUAUGAGAGGAGGCAAGAGAAGGAAAUGAGAGUGAGAGGAAGGAGGAGACAGAGGAGGAAGGGGGUGAUAAAUGAGAAGAGAUACUAAAAAUUAAAUAUGAGGGAAAUGGAGAAAAUGAAACUAAAGGAGACGAGGAGGAAAAGAAGAGGAGGAAACAGGAUUAGAGAAGGAAAGAAGAUGAAGAAAGAAAGAACAGACGAAGGCAAGCGAGGAAACAAGAGAUGAGUCUUAGUUGGCCUUGGACCAGCCUUCACCAACUCCACUGAUGGUUUUCGUUCCACAGACGGAUCUUCAGCAGGUUCCUCCUGACGAGGCUCACCUGCUGGCUGGAACCCGUCCAGCUGCUCCUCAGUUCUCCACCAGAACAAACAUCUGGACCUUCAGGAGUUCACCUUCAGACGGUUCCUCUAAAGGUUCUUCUGUUCAUCAGGUCCUUUAACCCGUUUCACUGCAGCAUCCUUCAGAGACCACCUGACAAACUUGUUUUAGAGAAGUUUACAGGACAUCGUAAUAAUAAGUCUAUCAGAACCAUCUCCAAUAAUCAGGAGGUGAUCCAUUUUAAAGGUGAGUAUUUGCUUGUUUUGUCGUCAGAUGAAGGUUGUCAACAAACAUUUUCCGUCAUGUGUGUAUAUUAGCCUCCUGACGCAAACAUACACACACAGCGCAGACACACACAAAUGCAGACACACACCACGGAAACACAACUCGGGGCGAAACGGCGCCAAAACCAAAGUUCUCACUUCUGCUGCAGGACA
Long non-coding RNA from Acanthochromis polyacanthus (spiny chromis), 1113 nucleotides. RefSeq lists it as uncharacterized. The record is from RefSeq and is a predicted model, not a curated record. The transcript has 3 exons. NCBI's taxonomy places the organism in Eukaryota, Metazoa, Chordata, Actinopteri, Pomacentridae.